GGGGAGAACUCAGCAGCAGACUUGGUUCAUGCCUUAGUUUAUAUUUCUCACAUGAUAUCCUUAUGAAACAUACAUCAUUCUGAAAUACAAUAAAACUAGUGAAAUCAAGACAUGGACCCACAUCAGAAUAAUGUUAGUCAUUCUGUAUAGAAGAGAAACAUGCUGAUUCUGCUCUGAGGGAUUCUAGAACAUGCUGAUUCUGCUCUGAGGGAUUCUAGAACAACAUGAUGAUUCUGCUCUGAGGGAUUCUAGAACAACAUGAUGAUUCUGCUCUGAGGGAUUCUAGAACAACAGGAUGAUUCUGCUCUGAGGGAUUCUAGAACAACAUGAUGAUUCUGCUCUGAAGGAUUCUAGAACAACAUGAUGAUUCUGCUCUGAGGGAUUCUAGAACAACAUGAUGAUUCUGCUCUGAGGGAUUCUAGAACAACAUGAUGAUUCUGCUCUGAGGGAUUCUAGAACAACAUGAUGAUUCUGCUCUGAGGGAUUCUAGAACAACAUGAUGAUUCUGCUCUGAGGGAUUCUAGAACAACAUGAUGAUUCUGCUCUGAGGGGAUUCUAGAACAACAUGAUGAUUCUGCUCUGAGGGAUUCUAGAACAACAUGAUGAUUCUGCUCUGAGGGAUUCUAGAACAACAUGAUGAUUCUGCUCUGAGGGAUUCUAGAACAACAUGCUGAUUCUGCUCUGAGGGAUUCUAGAACAACAUGAUGAUUCUGCUCUGAGGGAUUCUAGAACAACAUGAUGAUUCUGCUCUGAGGGAUUCUAGAACAACAUGAUGAUUCUGCUCUGAGGGAUUCUAGAACAACAUGCUGAUUCUGCUCUGAGGGAUUCUAGAACAACAGGGAAUUCUGUUUCCUUCCUGUUGAUGUACUGUCAGAUGGAAACACUCUAACCCAACAUGUAGAUUCUACUCUGUGAAUGACGAGGUUUGUGGCACAGAUCAUUAUCAUGAAAUAACAGACAACAGUUCACAGUAAACACAGACUAUCAUUGUGCACAACCCUAUACAACCCUAUUACAUAGCAUCAGCAAGGUACAUAAAACACUGACACCAUCCCUUUAAGGCCGAUAGAUAGGUCAUCCCUUUAAGACCUACACACAGUUCACCCCGUAAAAGACAGACAAUAAAGGUCAACCCUGUAAGACCGACAGACAGGUCAUCCCUUUAAGACCGACAGACAGGUCAUCCCUUUAAGACUGACGGGCAGGUCAUCCCUUUAAGACCGACAGGCAGGUCAUCCCUUUAAGACCGACAGACAGGUCAUCCCUUUAAGACCGACAGACAGGUCAUCCCUUUAAGACCGACAGGCAGGUCAUCCCUUUAAGACCGACAGACAGGUCAUCCCUUUAAGACCGACAGACAGGUCAUCCCUUUAAGACCGACAGGCAGGUCAUCCCUUUAAGACCGACAGGCAGGUCAUCCCUUUAAGACCGACAGACAGGUCAUCCCUUUAAGACCGACGGGCAGGUCAUCCCUUUAAGACCGACGGGCAGGUCAUCCCUUUAAGACCGACGGGCAGGUCAUCCCUUUAAGACCGACAGACAGGUCAUCCCUUUAAGACCGACAGACAGGUCAUCCCUUUAAGACCGACAGACAGGUCAUCCCUUUAAGACCUCAAAUAUAUUUGAAAAACGAGUUAAAAAAUGAUUAUUUACAAAAAUACUUUGCUGUGUAAACUUUUCAUUUUCAUUCCAACCAAAGGUUAGAGUUAGGUACUCUCUACCCCUAACCCUCUAUCCCCCUGUCUACCC
RNAcentral lists this long non-coding RNA (1749 nucleotides) under Salmo salar (Atlantic salmon). Its description in RNAcentral is "lncRNA (ENSSSAG00000120308.1)". The record is from RNAcentral. Lineage: Eukaryota; Metazoa; Chordata; Actinopteri; Salmoniformes; Salmonidae.